UACGUAGGGUGCGAGCGUUAAUCGGAAUUACUGGGCGUAAAGUGUGCGCAGGCGGCCGCGCAAGUCGAGUGUGAAAGCCCCGAGCUUAACUUGGGAACUGCGCUCGAAACUACUUGGCUAGAGUGUGGCAGAGGGAGGUGGAAUUCCACGUGUAGCGGUGAAAUGCGUAGAGAUGUGGAGGAACACCGAUGGCGAAGGCAGCCUCCUGGGCCAACACUGACGCUCAUGCACGAAAGCGUGGGGAGCAAACAGG
RNAcentral lists this ribosomal RNA (253 nucleotides) under uncultured bacterium. RNAcentral's name for it is "partial 16S ribosomal RNA". It matches the Rfam family "Bacterial small subunit ribosomal RNA", at positions 524 to 776 of the family's 1533-position model. The record is from RNAcentral.